CCUCUAGAUGAUGAAGACAUCAUCUCCUACAUUCUUGCAGGAUUAGACGAUGAGUACAACCCAGUAGUGACCACUUUGGUCGCAAGAUCAGACUCAGUAAGUGUUGCUGAAGCAUAUGCACAACUGCUCAACUUUGAAC
Molecule: non-coding RNA, 139 nt
Organism: Zea mays
Lineage: Eukaryota; Viridiplantae; Streptophyta; Magnoliopsida; Poales; Poaceae
Source: Rfam